RNAcentral lists this unclassified non-coding RNA (249 nucleotides) under Schizothecium sp. RNAcentral's name for it is "partial internal transcribed spacer region". The stretch from base 1 to 46 matches the Rfam family "Eukaryotic small subunit ribosomal RNA", at positions 1786 to 1831 of the family's 1831-position model. Lineage: Eukaryota; Fungi; Ascomycota; Sordariomycetes; Sordariales; Schizotheciaceae. The record is from RNAcentral.
AAGUCGUAACAAGGUUUCCGUAGGUGAACCUGCGGAAGGAUCAUUACAGAGUUGCAAAACUCCCAACCAUUGUGAACCUACCUCACCGUUGCUUCGGCGGGUGGCCCGGGGCAACCCGCGCCGCGCCGGCCCCUCUAGAGGGGCCCGGCAAACCCGUCAGAAGACCGAAACUCUAAUGUUUCUUAUUGUAACUUCUGAGUAAAACAAACAAAUAAAUCAAAACUUUCAACAACGGAUCUCUUGGUUCUG